AAACAUUUCUGAGGGGAAAAUGUUUUUAGUAUAACCUGCUCAAUGCUUUAGUAAAUAGCUGCAGUAUUUUGACUGUACAAAGGUAGCAUAAUCAUUAGUCUUUUGAUUGGAGGCUCGUAUGAAUGGUUGAACAGAAUAUUAACUUUUUUAAUUAUUCGAUGUUUUAAUUUAUAGUUUAUGUAAAAAUGCAUAGUUACUUGAAAGGGACGAUAAGACCCUAUAGAAUUUAAAAAUGUUCAUGAGAAAAUAUUGUAUUUUUUUGUUGGGGUGACAGUAAAUAAACUUUUAUGUAAUUCUCAUUGUUGAAUGUACAAUUGAUCCUAAUGUUUAGAUAAAAAGAUAAAAUUACCUUAGGGAUAACAGCAUGAUUUUUUUUAAAAGAUCUUAUUAAUAAAAAAGAUUAUGACCUCGAUGUUGAAUUAAAAUAAAAUUUUGGUGUAGAAGCUUAAUUU
This 452-nucleotide ribosomal RNA is filed under the name Cacopsylla chinensis (pear psyllid). RNAcentral's name for it is "partial 16S ribosomal RNA". It matches the Rfam family "Bacterial large subunit ribosomal RNA", at positions 1823 to 2572 of the family's 2925-position model. The record is from RNAcentral. Lineage: Eukaryota; Metazoa; Arthropoda; Insecta; Hemiptera; Psyllidae.